UACGUAGGGGGCAAGCGUUAUCCGGAAUUACUGGGUGUAAAGGGAGCGUAGACGGUAAUGUAAGUCUGGAGUGAAAGGCGGGGGCCCAACCCCCGGACUGCUCUGGAAACUAUGUUACUAGAGCGCAGGAGAGGUAAGCGGAAUUCCUAGUGUAGCGGUGAAAUGCGUAGAUAUUAGGAGGAACACCAGUGGCGAAGGCGGCUUACUGGACUGUAACUGACGUUGAGGCUCGAAAGCGUGGGGAGCAAACAGG
RNAcentral lists this ribosomal RNA (253 nucleotides) under uncultured bacterium. RNAcentral describes it as "partial 16S ribosomal RNA". It matches the Rfam family "Bacterial small subunit ribosomal RNA", at positions 524 to 776 of the family's 1533-position model. The record is from RNAcentral.